UUUAAUCAAAGCAAGUGUGUUUUAAUUUCUUUAAAGCCUGUUGUCUUGAAUGCUUAGUGUAAAGUUAUCCCAGGAGUCCAGUGAGCUGAAAGAUCUAUUAUACACAUCAACAAAUCAGAGGAACCAAUGGAUUAGCCAAGCCUUCCAGGACCAAGACAAAGAGAAAAACAGGAGGUCAUUUCACUCACUGAGAUCGCCUCAAACAGAAUGUGCCUGUGAGGAUUUCAAGCUGCUUGUGGCUGACAGAAAAAGUGGCUAGCUGACAACAUGGUAGCAAAGCAGGAUGACAGAGGCUGGGGCCGAAUGUCUACAGCAGGAAGCUGCCUCUGCUCAUGGAGACUCCCCAUGAGAUUUAAAUCUAGGGAUGUUGGAGAAUUCUGAUGGAAGCACAAACAAGAGAGGAAAUUGUUGAUGUUUGUUUAUUUGUCCCAUGUCCAGAACAGAAAUCAAUUCAGUAAAUAUGAUCGGUAUCUGCUAUUCUUGUUGUCAUUUUCAGUCCACAAAUCAUAUGUAAUUGAUUAUGGUUUUUCCUAUUUGCAUUGUGUUUCCUUUGUAUUGAAAUGAAUGGUGUGGGAUAAUGUAAUGAUAACAUAAAAUUCAGCAACGGCAGACAGUGAGAUGAAUAAUGUACUUGUUGUGAGAAGCCAAAAUGCAGCUGAGUUGGUAGAAGGCCCUAUUCCCCUCACAGAGCUAAAAUCCCCAGGGCUCCUUGGGAAGAGGCACUAAUCAAUCCACUCUGGGCAUUGUAACUCUGUGAAGGGAAUAGGGAUCUCCUAACAUCUCUUAGCACCCUUAACAAUCUACAGUUCCCAUGAUUCUUUGGGAGAAGCCACGUCUGUUUAAAGUGGAAUGAUAUAGCUUUAAAUGUAUAGUGCAGAUGGGGCCUAACACUGAGGAAUAAGUAGAUUGACUUCUCUCUGCCCUGCCCCCCCACAUUCCAUUCCCUUUUUGUUCCAUGUUGUUAUGGGACCUAAGGAGAACAUUUGGCAAAAGUGGGAGGAUGAAGAAUGAGGUACAGAUCUUGGGGAGUGGGUUGCCAGCACAGACAAAAGGUCUUUAGAAGUGUGUGGGCUUGCCAAUGGAAUUACUAAGAAAAGCCUGGAACCCCUCCCCCUUUCUCCUGAACCAUCUAGAGAUGAAUCUGCCUGGGCACCCAGCCUAGAUUUAGCUGUGGAACAGUUAAAACACAGUAAACAGAUAAGAGAGCAAAGUGAAAGCAGGCAGGCUGAGUCACUUUCGCCAAGGCCAAGGAGUUUAGAUAAGCGACGGCUUCAGAUGAUGCUUCCAACUCCUAGAAAAGGCUUUUGCCCUAUAGCAAAAGCAAGAAAGACCUAGAAUUAACCCAUAGAAGCCAGUCCCUGCCCCUCUCUGAUAUAAAAACUUUAGUGAUGCUUGUUUAGCUCUGUUGUAGCAACUCUUUGCUGUUGCCUCCAUGCCUUGUUCGUGAGGAAAGCCUAAACUGUUUGGUACCCUGAAUGAC
Long non-coding RNA from Rhineura floridana, 1480 nucleotides. RefSeq lists it as uncharacterized. The record is from RefSeq and is a predicted model, not a curated record. Lineage: Eukaryota; Metazoa; Chordata; Lepidosauria; Squamata; Rhineuridae. The transcript has 3 exons.